AUGAGAUCUCAUGCCCUCUGCUGGCAUGCAGGCAGAAGACUGUGUACAUAAUAAAUAAAUAAAAUCUUUUUAAAAAAUGCUAAAUACGCCGAGCAUUGUACAUUCACAUUAGUCAACCAUCAUUUUUAGAUUCUAGAACUUUUCCCUUUCACACUACCCAAAGGAACCUGGUACCUACUGGUCAUCUCUCCCUGGCACUCUUCCUCCUCAGCAUGUUUCUGUGGACUGAUAUGGCUUGACCUUUGGUCAACAGUAGCAUCUGUUCAUUUGGAACCUCCAGCUCCUGCUACAUGAUCCAGAAAGCCCCUUUCCUGUUUCUCUCUCCAAACCCCGCCCACUCAGAGAGUCUCCAAACAAAAACUAGUUCUGCAUCGUUGGCAGCUAUUGCAGCUUCUUCCCCUGAAGUUGUUCAGCUGCCCAAGUCCCUCUGCCCCAAAGUGCCCAGCUUUUGACUAUACUUGGGCAAAACCCAGCUUGUGACAGACAUGUCAUCACCCCUUACCCACAACCUAUAAAGUCCCUGCUUUCAUUUGUGGGCGUGGCUUGUUGCCUGGGUAAUUGCUUUGCUCAAAUAAACCUGUUGUUAUACUUUUUAAAUUCAGCUUGAUCUGGCCUACUGCAUUGGCAGAGAAACAUGGGGAUUUGGGGUGGAGAGAGAUGGUGGGUGGGGUAUAGAAAACCUAUUAGCACCUUUUUGUGUCAGUGCUGUUUCCAAGGUUCAUCACACAGUAAUAUAGGUCAGUGUGUACACCUUUGUAUUACCAAGUGUCAAACGCUCAUGUGCAAAGCCCCAGUACUACCCACACUUGUUACUUAAUACACACUGAUGGAGCUGCUAAGAUGUUGCAACCUGUAAAACAGAACUGUCAAGCUCACUCCUUGCCUCCUGCCUUCCCCUGCUCUUCAUCACAGGCAACAAGAGAAAGCACACAGGCCGAGCGCUGUUUGUAUGUCCUAAGUCAGAGGUCUCCUGCCACUGCUCCCAUGACACCCAGCACAUAGUAAAUGCUGUUGGGCGAACUGAAUGGCCAGUGAGCGAAGGGGCCUCUGGAAGUAGAGGUGGUACCUGGGGCAGGGCAGUGGCAGAGCUGUCUGCCAUUUUCCAUUUUCUCUGCUUUACUUGAGGCUGUAUCUGGGAGCUGCAUGCAGAGCUCAGCAGGGGCGCUUGGAAGCAGCAUCAUGAUGGCUGAGUCUAAGCACAACCGAGAUCUAAAUGAAAUGCUACAUGGCACAGUCUGUGAUCCCAGCCUUGGGAGAGUGAGGCAGGGGGACUCCCUAAAAGUUCAUUUACAGAUGAAUACAUUGUCAUAUCCCAAACCAAGGACUUUUGGGGUUGCCCUGGUUAGUAUUCCGUACCCUGGUUGUUGUCUCUCACACACCAUGGCAGCUCCAGCUUGUUGAUGGCACUGUCCUCAGAUCACCCCCCCCCUUUUUUUUAGGUUUUUGAGACAGGGUCUCUCUAUGUAGCUCUGGCUGUC
Molecule: long non-coding RNA, 1478 nt
Filed under: Cricetulus griseus (Chinese hamster)
Lineage: Eukaryota; Metazoa; Chordata; Mammalia; Rodentia; Cricetidae
Description: lncRNA (ENSCGRG00015030604.1)
Source: RNAcentral